AUGAACGCUGGCGGCGUGCCUAAUCCCUGCAAGUCGAGCGAACAGACGAGGAGCUUGCUCCUCUGACGUUAGCGGCGGACGGGUGAGUAACACGUGGAUAACCUACCUAUAAGACUGGGAUAACUUCGGGAAACCGGAGCUAAUACCGGAUAAUAUAUUGAACCGCAUGGUUCAAUAGUGAAAGACGGUUUUGCUGUCACUUAUAGAUGGAUCCGCGCCGCAUUAGCUAGUUGGUAAGGUAACGGCUUACCAAGGCAACGAUGCGUAGCCGACCUGAGAGGGUGAUCGGCCACACUGGAACUGAGACACGGUCCAGACUCCUACGGGAGGCAACAGUAGGGAAUCUUCCGCAAUGGGCGAAAGCCUGACGGAGCAACGCCGCGUGAGUGAUGAAGGUCUUCGGAUCGUAAAACUCUGUUAUUAGGGAAGAACAAAUGUGUAAGUAACUAUGCACGUCUUGACGGUACCUAAUCAGAAAGCCACGGCUAACUACGUG
RNAcentral lists this ribosomal RNA (496 nucleotides) under uncultured bacterium. Its description in RNAcentral is "partial 16S ribosomal RNA". It matches the Rfam family "Bacterial small subunit ribosomal RNA", at positions 29 to 507 of the family's 1533-position model. The record is from RNAcentral.